UUACAGGCCAGAAUGAGAAGCCACCAUUACAUACUAGUGCACUUUGAAAGCAAACAAUAGUACUUGCUGAUCUCUAGUUAGAAAAAGAACCCAUUUCUUUCUUUCUUCUUUCACUGUCUUGAUCUGCAGAGUAAUGGAUGACUUUAAGAGGAGGAGGAGGAAUCAAAUACCAUCAUUUGGGAACUGAAAUUUCUCAGACGUUACUGGGAUACCAAUUACACAGUAUUUUGAAUCAGCAGCUGGAUUAGUGAGUAGAUACAGCAGUUGUUCUGGUGAUGAUAGAGAUUUGUAUUGUGCUGUUGCUGAUUAUGAUUUUAUUUACUCGGAUCCUCCUCCUCAUACUUAUAACCAUCAUCUUAUCAAACCACCACCAUCUUCAGUACCACCACCAUCUUCCGUUACUGUUGUUUCUCGCACAAAGGGAGGAGGAGUACCACCAAGUGAGAAACGUUUCAACAACAACAAUAAUAGGAGUAUAAAGGAACAAAAAAAGCAUGGCAGGGGAUAUGAUGUGACUGAACCACCGGAAAAACAUCAUCGGCAUCAUCACUCAUCGAGGAAUCGACAUGAAGGUGAAGUUCAUCACUAUCACGAACAUUACAUCGCUCCUCAUCCAAAACGAAUUCCUCCAAAAGCUGUUGAUGAAGAUCUUUACAAAAUCCCUCCUGAACUUCUUCUCUACAAGCCUAAAAGAAAAAAGAUGCUUGGAUUCUUCUCAUGCUUAGUACCCACUUGUGCUGCUCGGAAUUUGAAGAACAAAAAGAAGAAAAAAGCCUUUCCUCAUUUGGAGUGUGAAUGAAUGAGAAGAGUAAUCUUAAUCAACAUUUUUACUUGUUCUAGUCAACAGAUGUCGUAUACUUGCAUUCCCUUUAACUACUUGCAACUUAUACAACUUAUAUUCAGAAGCCGCUUCAUUGUGAAAUGGGCCUUAAAUUAUGUAGUUACUUGUUUGUUGUGCUGGACUGCUUGGAUAAUGUUUACGAGGGA
Long non-coding RNA from Papaver somniferum (opium poppy), 987 nucleotides. RefSeq lists it as uncharacterized. The transcript is spliced from 3 exons. The record is from RefSeq and is a predicted model, not a curated record. NCBI's taxonomy places the organism in Eukaryota, Viridiplantae, Streptophyta, Magnoliopsida, Ranunculales, Papaveraceae.